RNAcentral lists this ribosomal RNA (1335 nucleotides) under Triticum aestivum (bread wheat). RNAcentral describes it as "partial small subunit ribosomal RNA". Lineage: Eukaryota; Viridiplantae; Streptophyta; Magnoliopsida; Poales; Poaceae. The record is from RNAcentral.
AUGGACCCUUGGUACAAGGGGUUCAAGGGCUCUGUGAAGAAUGCAAGAGCAAAGGCAGCUGGUGUCACGUAUACCAUCACUGGUGUUAUAGAGGAAGUCAAUGGCACCAAGCUUAAAAUUACUGAGCUUCCCGUCCGCAGCUGGACUGUCGAUUACAAAGAAUUUCUUGAAUCCAUGUGUCCUCAAAGUGAACAGGAAAAUGGCAAUGAGAAGAACAAAGGCAAGGGCAAGGUCAAGGUCAAAGAGCCACCCUUUCUAGAGAAAAUUAGAUCACAAUGUGAUCAUGCGAAUGUGGAGUUUGAGGUGAUCUUGAGUGAGCAAAACAUGAAUAUUGCUAAGAAACAAGGCCUUGAGAACAAAUUCAAGCUGACAGCCACAAUAAAAACAACAAACGUGAACUUGUUUGACUCGGAUGGUAGAAUUCGAACAUAUGGCACCCCAGAGGACAUACUUAAAGAGUUCUUCCAACUGAGGCUCGAAUUCUACGCCAGAAGAAAGGCAAUAAUGUUGCAAAAUAUAGGGAACGAGAUAUUGAAGCUUAAGAACAGAGUGAAAUUUAUUCUUGCUGUUAUCUCUGAGGACAUCAUAGUCAGUAACAGGAAGACGGCAGAGCUUUUCCUCGAGCUUAAGCAGAAGGGGUAUGAACCUUUCACAGAGAAUUUUUCUAUGUCCGAGCCGGUUCCCGUAGGAGGUACAGAAGAAGUAGAUGAAGAAAAUGAAGAGAGUCCUGCUGAAGGUGCAGCAGGAGUUACGGCGAGCGAUUAUCAGUAUCUUCUCGCAGUCGCAAUUUUUACCUUUACUGAGGAGAAGGCACAGGAGCUCAUCGCACAAAUGAAUAAAUUAGAGGCCGAAUCUGAAAGUCUGGGCAAAGCAACUCCAGAAAUUCUUUGGCUGGGAGAACUUGAUGCCCUUGAAAAGGAACUGGACGUGCUUGAUGGAAAUUUUGAAGAUUUAGAUGAGGAGACAACACGUAAGCCAGGAAAAAACUCCAAAGGCGAGAAGGCUUAUCAUCCUGACUUGUCUCCAGAACAUAGUGGAAGUCCUGCUGCCGAGAAGCCAAAGACUACCAUCAGGAAGAGGGCGCCUGCUCGGAGCAAAGAUAUAUUCAAGCCUACUGGCGACAGCAAUUCCAGAGCUCCUUCUCCUGAGAAGAAGGUGCGAAAGCUGAGGAUCUCCCUCUUCAACAAAAAGAGCGGCUCGGUUUCACAGAGGGUCGCGAGCGCUUCAGCAGGAGCAGAAGAUGCCGAGGCUCAGCCAGUUACACCGAGAAGGGCGGCAAGGGAGGGGAAGGCGAAAGCAAUCUGCAUCGAUUCCGGGAGCGACGAUGAUGUCUAG